RNAcentral lists this ribosomal RNA (253 nucleotides) under uncultured bacterium. RNAcentral's name for it is "partial 16S ribosomal RNA". It matches the Rfam family "Bacterial small subunit ribosomal RNA", at positions 524 to 776 of the family's 1533-position model. The record is from RNAcentral.
GACGGAGGGUGCAAGCGUUGUUCGGAAUUACUGGGCGUAAAGCGCGUGUAGGCGGCUCGCUAAGUCUGAUGUGAAAUCCCGGGGCUCACCUCCGGAAGUGCAUUGGAAACUGGCGAGCUCGAGUCCCGGAGAGGAGGGUGGAAUUCCUGGUGUAGCGGUGAAAUGCGUAGAUAUCAGGAGGAACACCGGUGGCGAAGGCGGCCCUCUGGACGGUGACUGACGCUGAGACGCGAAAGCGUGGGGAGCAAACAGG